CUGGAACAGACAGUGGUGCCUUACAGGGGUAGUUCUGGCUGAGACUUUGGCUUCACACUUAAUUAGGUGUAAAUUUAGGUGACCACAGAAGCUGACCUGUCAGACAGCUCUGAGAAGAGCCAGUCCCUCCAGGAAGGCAGCUGAAGUUGUAGCUUUGUGCUAGUGACUCUGCCAGCAACAGCCAAAAAAAAAUGCAUGCCAGUCUUUGCUAACUGAAUCACUACAACAAAGGUAAAGCCACUGCAAACCUGGAUAACUGACACAGCAAAUUGAAAGGUCAUGAAACCCGGAAUGUAACUACAAAAAUUUGAAAAUCUAACAGGCAGACCUCGACAAUCACAUAGCCAAAUCACACACAACAGCCAAGGAAAAUGAACAAGAAUACCCUCUACAACCCAGUAGAGAGAGUAAUCUGUGAAGACCUGAGAAACAGAAUCUUCAGAAUAAAACCACCACUGCUGUCAGGAAUCAGUCUGUCCAUUUCCACCAACCUACAAACUUCUGUGUCACUGCCGUCACAGCCUGAGCCAAUGGAUAAAUGCAGAACGUCUGACGGAGCACCCUUGACCAAUAACACACUUUGUUUACAAAAUACUUCACAAUUGCUCUAAGAAAAUGGCUCAAAAAUAGCAUUUAACAUCCUCUGUGACACAUUUAAUAAUUCAGAUGACUCGUCUCUGCUUCUUGUUUGUUUCAGACAGCAACAAAGAACAUUUCUGAUGGGCAAUCUCAAAGAUCAGACUUGGUGCUGGUGCCUGACUCACAUCUACUGAUAACAGAGCACUGUUCCUGCUGCUGAGCCUGAGCCAGGAUUCCCAUCACAACUUUCUGUUUCUAAAGGUUCAUAACUUCACCAGAAGUUGACUCUGGGUUAGAGGUUAGCAAGGAUGUGGAACACUUAGCUGACAAAAUCUAGAAGAAAAAAAAAUCCGCCUGCAUGUGAGAUAAAAGUGUGAAAAUUAUCAGAAGGACAAUGGCUUCAGAUGGUUUCUGUCAAUGAGAAAUGUCAUGUAGGAAAGAACAAUGUCCUUGCACUUAAGGGCCAAGCCAGAACUGCAGUCCCUUUAUGCUCCACUUUGCUGUUUCCAGCACCCUUUGGACAUCAGCCACCCCAGAAAAAGAACUGGACACUUGGGUGAGAACAAUAGCUGAGCUGUUCAUGAAAAAUCUCCUGUGCCAGCCAGUCCCACUCAUCUGGCAGCUCCACACUGCCCUCCAGGGAGGGCCAGCACCAAACUUACCGUGCUUCCCUCAGUUUCCCCCUGGCAGGACAGAAUUCCUUGGCAGCAAACACACAAAGCAAGCAAGAGAAACACAGCAGACAUAAACACGAAAAUGUGUGUAUUUCAUGACAUAAAAAAGAGUAAAAAGUAAAUUAUAAAGAUUAAAUAAUCCAUAAAUUGUUCAUGCUUGGAUAACUGCUAUCCAAAUGCCUUUUUCAAGCGCCAUAUUAAUGGAAAUAAUGAACAAUUCAUUGUUAAUUAACAAUCUUAUUUAAUGACAAUAGCUCAUCAAUAUAUGCAGCAGUCUAUGUUCAAUGAACACAGAUAUUUCAUCAUGGAAGACAUGACUCCUGGGUUUAUGCAUGAUAUGAAAUGUGAGCUUUUUGCAGCUAUUUCAAAUCAUUUUGGGACACAAAAACUGUGGACAAGAUAUCUCCUGUUUAAAUGCAUUAUCCAUCCCUGGCUGCAGAGCAUGUUGUCUUGUGUUUAUCUGAAGGAACACUUCCAAAAUUCUUUGAGAAACUCAAUUGUUAUCAUUGUCUGAACUUAAAAAGACUACACCUUUGUAUAGAGUUCUGUCAAAAGAAAUCCUGCU
Molecule: long non-coding RNA, 1818 nt
Organism: Zonotrichia leucophrys gambelii
Lineage: Eukaryota; Metazoa; Chordata; Aves; Passeriformes; Passerellidae
Exons: 4
Source: RefSeq, a predicted model, not a curated record